This 252-nucleotide ribosomal RNA is filed under the name uncultured bacterium. RNAcentral's name for it is "partial 16S ribosomal RNA". It matches the Rfam family "Bacterial small subunit ribosomal RNA", at positions 525 to 776 of the family's 1533-position model. The record is from RNAcentral.
ACGUAGGAUGCAAGCGUUGUCCGGAAUCACUGGGCGUAAAGGGUCCGUAGGCGGUUUGUUAAGUCUCCUGUGAAAGUCCAGGGCUCAACCCUGGGAUGUCGGGGGAUACUGGCAAACUUGAGACUGUCAGAGGCAAGUGGAAUUCCCGGUGUAGUGGUGAAAUGCGUAGAUAUCGGGAGGAACACCAGUGGCGAAAGCGGCUUGCUGGGACAGUUCUGACGCUGAGGGACGAAAGCGUGGGUAGCAAACCGG